CAGAGAGAGAGGGAGGCACAGAAUCCGAAGCAGGCUCCGGGCUCUGAGCUGCCAGCACAGAGCCCGACGCGGGGCUCGAACCCAUGAAACUGUGAGAUCAUGACCUGAGCCAAAACCAAGAGCUGGAUGCUUCACCGGCCGAGCCACCCAGGCGCCCCAUCUUGACCACAGAAUAUUUUAACUAGUUUCUAAUAUUUGCCUCUCCCAACCCUCUAACCUCAUUCCCAUUUAACAAAUGUCUUACACACGGGACACUGUGUUCCCCUAAACCAAGGAUUUCACAGAAUAGUCUCCAAUCCACCCUCAUCAAAAAUCUGGGAGUAUCUGUUUAAGAUGCAGUUUUCUGGUCCCCCACCCCAGACUUAAUGCAUGAGUACCCCUGGUACUUCUAACAAGCUGCCAGGGGACUGCUACACGAUUAAUAAUCACUGUUCCUACAUUGUUUCGAAUGCUUUAUAUUCAUUCAUGCAUUCAUCCUCACAGCAACUCUAUUUUCCCCAUUUCACAGAUGAGAAACCGAGGCACGGACCCUCGGGUCCAGGAAAACAACGCUAGUAUAGGAGAGGAAGAGACCGUUUUCCUCAACUGUCUUAGGGUCCCCGGCUGGAUCUGGAAAUUAAGCUGACCCAAACAGAUGAACAGGAGAAAAACAUAUAAAUGUAUUUAAUAUAAAUUUUACAUAACACGAAAGGCUCCGUAAGGAAAUGAAGACUCAGGGAAACCGUGAAAGCCGAGCGCCUCGAUGCUGGGUUUGCUGGAGAGUGGAGGUCACGGGGACAUAAAACAAGCAGAGUACGAGCUAACCGUAGCAAACGGGAAACUUAGCAACGUCUGUUCGUCCGGAGUCUUCCCAUCGUCCCUCGACUUGGAGACAAAUGUUCCUUGGAGAGGUACGGGGAGGGCACCUCUCACACGAGGGGCCCGCGGAGUGGUUACCGGGUUACUCUCAGAUAAAAUGAUGCUCUCCAGAGAGCCUGCCGGCGUGGUAAAGGUGCCAGUGGCACAGAAGGCACACCGCGAAGGCUGUGGAUCUGGGAACAGCCCGAAGUUUCAUCCCCGUGUUUCUUGGAAGCGGCACAGCGCGGGCGAAAUCUGAACCGGUUCCCGGGAAUCACGUCCAUCGGACGACUCGACGCCAACGCCAGCUGCUUUGCCAGUUACUGGUAAGGGGGGGGGGGGGGAGGAGUACGAGGAAUUAAGGAGAAACGUGUUACUGUAACUCAGCAGCUCAGAGGGCCUUCUCUCAGUCCAGAGAAUAUUUGAAACGAAGGGCAGAUAUGAACUUCACUUCUGGCUUCAGCCCUAAAAACAGCCAGGAAAAACACGUACACUCGAAACGUCCUCCCUCCGUCCAAGGUCUACCCCACCUUCUGUCUCCCCCAAAACAUCCGUGCGUUUAUACCUGUUGCGCGAACUCAUGGCAACGGCAGUCAGGUGAUCUGGGCGAUACUAACACUUCGGGAUGGCAGCACCCGGUUCUAGAGAGAGCACGGGGCUUCGGAGGGGGCGCACGAGAAGGGAAACCUCACCAAAACCCGAGUCGCGAAGGCGCGAGGGCCCCCGGCAGGGGGAGGGAGGACACCUUCCACGCGGGACUCUGACUCCUCGGGAAAAGGAAAAUCCCUCCCUGCAGCAGGCCGUGGAGACACCCGCACAACGUCCUGUUCUUCCUCCACGAACGCUUGCUCAGAACACCCCUCCCCACGUCCUCCUGAAACCUAACGGAAUCUGACCUGCCCUCUGUCCCCUCAGACCUGCCCCUGCUUUGCUAUGUCUGCUCGUCCCGAAUUGCAAUUCCUCCGCUCUUCCCCGAUAGACUCAUGUUGCCAGUGAAAUCGUGACUCUGUUGUAUUUACGGAUGACAGGCCCUGCACAGCUGGCUUCGGGUGUGAAUUUAAGCGUGACCCCGGACGGCCUAUUGAAACUCUGAAUCUCGGUUUCCUGUGAAAUAGAACCAUCUCGUUUUUAUCCCAGCGCCACACGUAGCUGAGGGGUUGCGGAGGGGGCUAAAGUGGAGGACGUCUGUGACACCAGACAAAUCUCAAUUCUUCCCUUCCCUUCUUUUCAGUCCAUUCACCGGGAAACCCUAACUACCCGUCCGCCCUCGUAACCUGACUAUUCCAAGCAAAUAACCCGCUUGUUCAUUGGAAGAACGUCCCAAAGAUUCACCAGCUCUGCCUAGGAACCAUCAACAGAGGGGCUGCAGCCUAAGGUUUCUCUGCUUCAAAAUCUUUGCCUUGCUGUUUCCCACCCAUUCAAAAAAAAAUUUUUUUUAAUGUUGAUUUAUUUUUGGGAGACAGAGUGCCAGCAGGGGAGGGGCAGAGAGAGGGAGGGAGACACAGAAUCCGAAGCAGGCUCCAGGCUCUGAGCUGUCAGCACAGAGCUCAACGUGGGGCUCGAACCCAUGAGGUACGGGAUCAUGACCUGAGUUGAAGUCGGAGGCUUAACCGACUGAGCGUCCCGGGCGCCCGUUUCCCACCCAUUCUAAACCACGGGAGACACAAUCCUCAAACGAGCAGUGCCCAGACCGCACGUACAGAGCUCUGACCUACAGUCUGCGGUGGCCAGCCCAGGAACGGACUCACCGUCAACAGAAACCAGCCCAGGAAGCCAACCCACCACCUGCAGAUUGGACUUCUGAGAAAGCCCACCGUCUCUCGCAAACGGUCCAGGAGGCCAAGCAGUGACACCUGUAACUCGCCUCAAGCAGCCAGGACUCGAUCAAUACUUGCCUGGUUUCUGGGCCUACUUCCCACUCGGACCGACGGAAGGAGAAAGCCAGACACGUGCCCCUGACCAGUCGCAUCGGAUGCCGUGCGUCUGGCCAGCCUGCCCGUACCUUCCCGGUGCCGAUGGCCCCGAUCGGGACACACGUGACUUCCCUUUUUCCCACUCCCCUGCCUUCCUCUGUCUCUGUGCUGACUGCAGGCGAUGAUGGCUGACGUCUUUGCCCUGAUAAACAAUCUUUGCCUCUUGUCGUGUGGAUGGUCUUCCUUUGGUCCCGCCACCGCUGUGUCGCAAUCCACCCCCAGUCCCAAUUGACGCUAUGUUGGGAAGUAAACGUUUUCAUAGGGCUCUCUGAGCAAGCUUUACUGGGAUCUGGUCAAAGGACAAGCCUCAGACGUCGAAGGGCGUGUAGAUACAACCGAACGCCAGAAAGGAUCACCUCUCUGGCCAUGCACAGAGAGACACUCCAGGGUUGUGAGGAAGUCCUGAGAGGCUUGUCUUAUGUAUCCCCCAGAGACAUUUAGUUACAUUCCAGGGGGGUCUGCCUCUUCCCAAGGAGACCGUGUUUAUGGGGAUCCGGGGUACGGCACAUGAAGCCCUAUGUAAACAGAUUGACAAUUUCGGGGUUCCUGUCUUGUGGUACAGGGAGCCCCCCGUACACACAUCUGGUUCUCACAUCGCCCCAAAAGAGGCAAGAAUUAGCCUGCGGGGGGACUCUAAAGCUACUGCUGUUAAGUAAAUAAUCAUCUGCUUGGAUCCAGAGACCUCCUGGUUUCAGAAUAAUAUAAACAAAUAAAAAUAUAUAAAACGUAAUGUUAAAGCUUUGA
RNAcentral lists this long non-coding RNA (3554 nucleotides) under Felis catus (domestic cat). RNAcentral's name for it is "lncRNA (ENSFCAG00000051546.1)". The record is from RNAcentral. Lineage: Eukaryota; Metazoa; Chordata; Mammalia; Carnivora; Felidae.